UCGAGGAUCUUCGGCAAUGGGCGCAAGCCUGACCGAGCGACGCCGCGUGUGCGAUGAAGGCCUUCGGGUUGUAAAGCACUGUCGAGGGGGAGGAAAACCGGGCAACCGGUCUGACCUAUCCCUGGAGGAAGCACGGGCUAAGUUCGUGCCAGCAGCCGCGGUAAGACGAACCGUGCGAACGUUGUUCGGAAUCACUGGGCUUAAAGGGCGCGUAGGCGGCGGCUCAAGUCGGGGGUGAAAUCUUUCCGCUUAACGGGAAAAGGGCCUUCGAUACUGGGCGGCUCGAGGGAGGUAGGGGCAUGCGGAACUUCCGGUGGAGCGGUGAAAUGCGUAGAUAUCGGAAGGAACGCCGGUGGCGAAAGCGGCGUGCUGGACCUCCACUGACGCUGAGGCGCGAAAGCUAGGGGAGCAAACGG
RNAcentral lists this ribosomal RNA (416 nucleotides) under uncultured bacterium. RNAcentral describes it as "bacterial SSU rRNA". It matches the Rfam family "Bacterial small subunit ribosomal RNA", at positions 355 to 775 of the family's 1533-position model. The record is from RNAcentral.